This 253-nucleotide ribosomal RNA is filed under the name uncultured bacterium. Its description in RNAcentral is "partial 16S ribosomal RNA". It matches the Rfam family "Bacterial small subunit ribosomal RNA", at positions 524 to 776 of the family's 1533-position model. The record is from RNAcentral.
UACGUAGGGUGCAAGCGUUGUCCGGAAUUAUUGGGCGUAAAGAGCUCGUAGGCGGUCUGUUGCGUCGGCUGUGAAAACCCGGGGCUCAACCCCGGGCCUGCAGCCGAUACGGGCAGACUAGAGUUCGGGAGAGGGAAGCGGAAUUCCGGGUGUAGCGGUGAAAUGCGUAGAUAUCCGGAGGAACACCGGUGGCGAAGGCGGCUUCCUGGACCGACACUGACGCUGAGGCGCGAAAGCUAGGGGAGCAAACGGG